GGAAUAUUGGUCAAUGGCCGGAAGGCUGAACCAGCCAAGUAGCGUGCAGGAUGACGGCCCUAUGGGUUGUAAACUGCUUUUGUACGGGAAUAACGGUAGGCUCGUGAGCCUAUGUGCAUGUACCGUACGAAUAAGGAUCGGCUAACUCCGUGCCAGCAGCCGCGGUAAUACGGAGGAUCCGAGCGUUAUCCGGAUUUAUUGGGUUUAAAGGGAGCGUAGGCGGAGGAUCAAGUCAGUUGUGAAAUGUAGGCGCUCAACGCCUGCACUGCAGUUGAAACUGGUUCCCUUGAGUGCGUAAGAGGCAGGCGGAAUUCGUCGUGUAGCGGUGAAAUGCUUAGAUAUGACGAAGAACUCCGAUCGCGAAGGCAGCUUGCCGGGCCGCAACUGACGCUGAAGCUCGAAGGUGCGGGUAUCGAACA
RNAcentral lists this ribosomal RNA (419 nucleotides) under uncultured bacterium. RNAcentral's name for it is "bacterial SSU rRNA". It matches the Rfam family "Bacterial small subunit ribosomal RNA", at positions 358 to 774 of the family's 1533-position model. The record is from RNAcentral.